AGAGUUUGAUCAUGGCUCAGGAUGAACGCUAGCGGCAGGCUUAACACAUGCAAGUCGAGGGGCAGCACGGGUAGCAAUAUCUGGUGGCGACCGGCGCAAGGGUGCGUAACGCGUGAGCAACAUGCCCGUAUCAGGGGAAUAAUCCAGGGAAACUUGGUCUAAUACCCCAUAGUAAAUAUUAAAGGCAUCUUUAAUAUUUUAAAGCUUCGGUGGAUACGGAUUGGCUCGCGUGACAUUAGCUAGAUGGUAAGGUAACGGCUUACCAUGGCUACGAUAUCUAGGGGUUCUGAGAGGAAGAUCCCCCACACUGGAACUGAGACACGGUCCAGACUCCUACGGGAGGCAGCAGUGAGGAAUAUUGGACAAUGGAUGGAAAUCUGAUCCAGCCAUGCCGCGUGCAGGAAGACGGCCCUAUGGGUUGUAAACUGCUUUUAUAUGGGAGCAAUAAGACCUACGUGUAGGUUGAUGAGAGUACCAUAUGAAUAAGCACCGGCUAACUCCGUGCCAGCAGCCGCGGUAAUACGGAGGGUGCAAGCGUUAUCCGGAUUUAUUGGGUUUAAAGGGUGCGUAGGCGGUUUGAUAAGUCAGCGGUGAAAUAUUUCAGCUUAACUGGAAGGGUGCCGUUGAUACUGUCAGGCUUGAAUUUAGUUGCUGUGGGUGGAAUGUGUGGUGUAGCGGUGAAAUGCAUAGAUAUCACACAGAAUAUCGAUUGCGAAGGCAGCUCACAAAGCUAAUAUUGACGCUGAUGCACGAAAGUGUGGGGAUCAAACAGGAUUAGAUACCCUGGUAGUCCACACUGUAAACGAUGAUAACUCGCUGUCGGCGAUACAUAGUCGGUGGCCAAGCGAAAGCGAUAAGUUAUCCACCUGGGGAGUACGACCGCAAGGUUGAAACUCAAAUGAAUUGACGG
Molecule: ribosomal RNA, 910 nt
Filed under: uncultured bacterium
Lineage: Bacteria
Description: bacterial SSU rRNA
Rfam family: Bacterial small subunit ribosomal RNA
Source: RNAcentral